This 3388-nucleotide long non-coding RNA is filed under the name Daucus carota (carrot). Its description in RNAcentral is "long non-coding RNA (DCAR_LNC001862)". The record is from RNAcentral. Lineage: Eukaryota; Viridiplantae; Streptophyta; Magnoliopsida; Apiales; Apiaceae.
UGCCGGGUUGUGGCAAUUAGAUAGGAUUACAAAUUCAAGCUAAGUUAGCCAGUGGGCUGGAUAGCAGGUGCUAGGUGACAGUGGUGUCAAAGGGAAGGGUUCUUCCAGAGGCUUGUAAUUUGUAAUCGGCAAACUGUAAGCUUUAUAUUAUUGUUUAAUAAUAUAAUCUCUGUACUAGUUGGUACGGGGACUUGGAUGUAGGCCAUAGAUUAAUAGGGGCCGAACCAAGUGAAAAUGUAAGUUACUAACUUAGAUGUUCUCCACGCAUCAACUGUGUCAUUAAUCGACGACUUCACUAAGACAAAUUUUUGUAGGUCUAUGGUCUUUCUUGGUUCGUCAUGGCAACUAUCCUUCUGGUACUAAAGGUAUGAAUAUUGAAAAUGACAAUGAAUGUCAAUAGUAUUCUGCACUCUUCUGUAUAGGUAGUUAUGUGCAUUACCAGGUGAGGCGCCACUCUGUUUCUUAUCUCUAAUCUCAGCAUGUUUGUGUACCUCCAGCUGCUAUCGAUGGGAAGACGGAAGUUUGGCACUGACUUUCAGCUCAUGUUCAGGAUUGUGAAGGUGCUUUUGUUCUUUGGAUUUGUAACAGUUAUGACCAUCUUAUUUCUUGUAUGUGGACUCACUAUAACGGACAUAUUUGCUGCUCUCCUUGCUUUCGCUCCCACUGGGUGGGCCUUUCUCUUGGUAAGUUGCAUUAUCAUAUAACUAUACGUAAAUUACUUUGUCAGUAACAUUUGUAUCUAGUACACGCGUAGUAAUACAGGUUUAGCACACUAACAAUGGUUUAAAGACUGGUUUUCAAAUGUUUGCCGGGGAAUGGUUCAACUAAAAACCUGUAUAUAUGCGCCCUCCGGUACCAACUGCAAUGCAUCUUUUUAACCCAGAAACAUAAUCUUUUAUUUGCUAUCUCAAAUUGAUGUGCACGAAAAAUAAGUAAGUUCUUGUGUUACUUGUUCUUUGCAGAUCGGCCAAGCAUGUAGGCCUGCUUUGAAAGGUAUAGGGUUCUGGAAUUCCUUAAUGGAGUUGGCUAGGGCAUAUGAAUGCAUGAUGUCUCUGGUGAUAUUCAUGCCAAUAGUUAUAUUAUCCUGGUUCCCUUUCGUAUCGGAGUUCCAAAUAAGGCUGCUCUUCAAUCAAGCUUUCAGCAGAGGCCUCCAGAUUUCGAUGAUUCUUGCAGGAAAAAAAGACAAGAAAUCAAACACUUAAAAUUUCCCAUAUUGAAGUCCACUUAUAUUACAUUCUAUUUAAUUCUGAGUCUUGUAUAUAGGAGCUAGCUAGUUAUCAAGAAAUUGUAUAAGAACAUAGAAUACCACACAACACAGCAGAUAUGUUAGAAUUAGUACCUUGGUGUAAUAUUACAGCUCAUUCUUGUCUGAUGUGCACUGAUAAGGAACUUCAGUAAAAUUAUACUCACCAGUCACCACAGUAGGUUCUUAUAGUCCAAUAUAUUUAUUGUGCAGACUGCAUAGGGCUAGUUAAUAUCAGAGAAAAAUGGUUUCUUAGAGCAGGGCCACUGUAUUCGGUUCGGUUAACCGAAAACUGUAUCAAAUAGCCGAAAUGAUUGCGAUUCGGUUAAUUGAAUUGAAUAUUUCAGUUCGAUAUCUCGACAGCCAAAAAUCUGAAUUUCGAUAUUUCGGUUUUCCGAUUUUAUCACCGUGAUUAAUUGAAAACCUAAUGAUUAACCAAAAUAGUUAUGAAAAUACUAAAAUAUAUUUAAGUUAAUAACAUAAAUACAGAUCAUCUUAUUUACACUCGAGUAACUUUACUGCUCUACAUACACUAGUUAGGCUGUGUUCACUUCACUUCAUGGAAUGAAAUGAGUGGAGAAUACAAUGAAAAAUUAUAUCGAAUUUUUAAAGAGAAAGAAGAAAGUAUGAAUUAAUAGUGACAAAAUAUGAGUGUAGUUAAAUUUCUUGUGAGAAAGAUUGUGAAGAAACAUGAUGUAAAAAUGGAAUGAGCAUUCCUUUUAAAACAUGAGGAUUAGAGUUAUAGUUAAAAUAGUAAGAUUGGAAUGAUCGAAGGAAUGAAAAUUAUAUACAUUUUCUUUGAUCAAUACCUUUUUAAUUCAUUCCAUUCACUCCAAGUAAACACAACCUAAUUAUACCUAAUUAUAUUAUCAUUGUCAGUGACUUAGCCAAAGCCUAAUCAAGGAAUCGAACAUCCAAUUCAAAGCCCCAACCGAGAAAGUGCAGUCCUGAAUCUUAAUUUCCUAAUCGAAUCUAUCAAUAUCAAUCAAGGAAUUGAAGCCCUCAAUAUCUAUCACAUUGUUCUCUGCAUCCAACUAAAUCAUUAUUACCGUACACAAGUUAAAAAUGGAAUUUUAUACACCAAACUGUCCCAAAAAUAUCAUUAUUUCAAAAAUAAAAAGUCAUGACAGUCCGCAUCAAUAAAUUUCUCAAUAAUUUUAGACAACAUCCGCAUCAUCUUUUAUUACAAUUAAAAUCUCGAAAAAUAUAUUUAUUAAAAAGAGGAAAAAUCUGAUUAGGUGUAUCGCGUGCAAGAUAGUGUUAGCCCUUAGUUUUUACUGAUGAUUAGCUUUGAAUAUCAGAUAGUAUGUUGACUAAGUCUGAUGCAUCAUAUUGUUCUAUCUUUCAGGGCUUACUGGUUUAACAAACUUGUGUGUGGAUAAACCAGAAUUAUCUUAUCCUAUUGUUUCAUGUUUAUCCAACUUAUUUUAUAUUUAAACUGUUAAACUCUAACGUUUAUCUCUUAACAGUUUAACUUGUUCAAACAGUCAUAUUGUAACAGAUUUAUUCUUCAGAUUCUAUCUUUGUAUAUCUGUUACAUUGUCCUAAUUAUUAGCUUGGUUAGUUUUAUUCCUAACAGCUGUAAUUCAAAUUCCCAACAGCUAUUUCUUUACAGGCUAUAUAUAUUCAGCUGGGAUUUCAACUCAGACUACAAGAGCUUUCAAUCAUCUUCUAUUACAGAGCGUUCAUUCACUAUUUCAGUCAGCCUUAGAAGAUAUACAAUCUGAGUUGUACUUAAAUAUAUUUAUAUUCACUUGUGCCGGGUUGUGGCAAUUAGAUAGGAUUACAAAUUCAAGCUAAGUUAGCCAGUGGGCUGGAUAGCAGGUGCUAGGUGACAGUGGUGUCAAAGGGAAGGGUUCUUCCAGAGGCUUGUAAUUUGUAAUCGGCAAACUGUAAGCUUUAUAUUAUUGUUUAAUAAUAUAAUCUCUGUACUAGUUGGUACGGGGACUUGGAUGUAGGCCAUAGAUUAAUAGGGGCCGAACCAAGUGAAAAUUCUUGGUGUUGUUCUUGUUUAUUUGUCUGUCAUUUAUUCACUGCGUUUUAUCUGCUGUUAACUGCUUCAGUUUAUAUAAAAGAGACAGUCUCAUUUGCAAUUGAGACAGACUCAUUUGUCUGACAGAUUAAGUUUUGUGCCCGGUUUAAAUU